This 293-nucleotide ribosomal RNA is filed under the name uncultured bacterium. RNAcentral's name for it is "partial 16S ribosomal RNA". It matches the Rfam family "Archaeal small subunit ribosomal RNA", at positions 455 to 747 of the family's 1478-position model. The record is from RNAcentral.
GUGCCAGCCGCCGCGGUAAUACCGGCAGCACGAGUGAUGGCCGAUUUUAUUGGGCCUAAAGCGUCCGUAGCUUGCUGUGUAAGUCCAUUGGGAAAUCCACGCGCUCAACGCGUGGGCGUCCGGUGGAAACUGCACGGCUUGGGGCCGAGAGACUCGACGGGUACGUCCGGGGUAGGAGUGAAAUCCUAUAAUCCUGGACGGACCACCAAUGGGGAAACCACGUCGAGAAGACGGCUCCGACGGUGAGGGACGAAAGCCAGGGUCUCGAACCGGAUUAGAUACCCGGGUAGUCC